This is a long non-coding RNA of Amphimedon queenslandica, 445 nucleotides long. RefSeq lists it as uncharacterized. Lineage: Eukaryota; Metazoa; Porifera; Demospongiae; Haplosclerida; Niphatidae. The transcript is spliced from 4 exons. The record is from RefSeq and is a predicted model, not a curated record.
GGUCCGGUCCGCUUUUUAGGGACAACCACAUUAAUUUAGUGACGAUACUGACGAAUUCAAUGGCGCCGGCUAAAAAAACUAAAGCUAGCUUGUGGCAGCAGUCUAAAGUGCAGAGGGGGAAGUUGGAAUUGUGGCCUGCUAGCUGCAAAGACGAGCGAUCCGUUGUUCCUAAGCCCCAAUUAUUGAGAGUUGGAACAUAGAUAAGACUACUUGAAGAAAGAGCUGGAGUUAUUAGGCACCCCUCGACGCGGAACGCACCAGCUGAGGCUCCAAGCUCACAAUGAAGUCUUUGAUUCCUAAAUUGGUAGAGAACUUCACUACUUACAAGCCAUUGCUCGCUUCCAAUGAGUAUGAUCUGAUCAUUUUUGAUCUGGAAGAGAAGAUUAAGGAGCUGCUUCCAUUACAGGCCAAGCUACGCUCAAUGAGGGAGGAGUAUGAACAAAAA